AUUGAACGCUGGCGGCAUGCUUUACACAUGCAAGUCGAACGGUAACAGGCCGCAAGGUGCUGACGAGUGGCGAACGGGUGAGUAAUGCAUCGGAACGUGCCCAGUCGUGGGGGAUAACUACUCGCAAGAGUAGCUAAUACCGCAUACGAUCUAUGGAUGAAAGCGGGGGACCGUAAGGCCUCGCGCGAUUUGAGCGGCCGAUGUCAGAUUAGGUAGUUGGUGGGGUAAAGGCUCACCAAGCCAACGAUCUGUAGCUGGUCUGAGAGGACGACCAGCCACACUGGGACUGAGACACGGCCCAGACUCCUACGGGAGGCAGCAGUGGGGAAUUUUGGACAAUGGGCGCAAGCCUGAUCCAGCAAUGCCGCGUGCAGGAAGAAGGCCUUCGGGUUGUAAACUGCUUUUGUACGGAACGAAACGGCUCUGGUUAAUACCCGGGGCUAAUGACGGUACCGUAAGAAUAAGCACCGGCUAACUACGUG
RNAcentral lists this ribosomal RNA (482 nucleotides) under uncultured bacterium. RNAcentral's name for it is "partial 16S ribosomal RNA". It matches the Rfam family "Bacterial small subunit ribosomal RNA", at positions 30 to 507 of the family's 1533-position model. The record is from RNAcentral.